RNAcentral lists this ribosomal RNA (446 nucleotides) under uncultured bacterium. Its description in RNAcentral is "bacterial SSU rRNA". It matches the Rfam family "Bacterial small subunit ribosomal RNA", at positions 29 to 521 of the family's 1533-position model. The record is from RNAcentral.
AGCGAACGCUGGCGGCAGGCCUAACACAUGCAAGUCGAACGGAUCCUUCGGGAUUAGUGGCGGACGGGUGAGUAACACGUGGGAACGUGCCUUUUGGUUCGGAACAACUCAGGGAAACUUGAGCUAAUACCGAAUGUGCCCUUCGGGGAAAGAUUUAUCGCCAUUAGAGCGGCCCGCGUCUGAUUAGCUAGUUGGUGAGGUAAAGGCUCACCAAGGCUACGAUCAGUAGCUGGUCUGAGAGGAUGAUCAGCCACAUUGGGACUGAGACACGGCCCAAACUCCUACGGGAGGCAGCAGUGGGGAAUCUUGCGCAAUGGGCGAAAGCCUGACGCAGCCAUGCCGCGUGAAUGAUGAAGGUCUUAGGAUUGUAAAAUUCUUUCACCGGGGACGAUAAUGACGGUACCCGGAGAAGAAGCCCCGGCUAACUUCGUGCCAGCAGCCGCGGU